UACAGAGGGUGCAAGCGUUGUUCGGAAUCACUGGGCGUAAAGCGCGCGCAGGCGGAUGGUUGCGUCCGGAGUGAAAUUUCGCCGCUCAACGGCGAAGCUGCUUUGGAUACGGACCGUCUAGGGACCGGUAGAGGCUGGUAGAAUUGCAGGUGUAGCGGUGGAAUGCGUAGAGAUCUGCAAGAAUACCCGUGGCGAAGGCGGCCAGCUGGGCCGGAUCCGACGCUGAGGCGCGAAAGCGUGGGGAGCAAACAGGAUUAGAAACCCCCGUAGUCC
Molecule: ribosomal RNA, 273 nt
Filed under: uncultured bacterium
Lineage: Bacteria
Description: partial 16S ribosomal RNA
Rfam family: Bacterial small subunit ribosomal RNA
Source: RNAcentral